UUUAUUAUUAUCAGCAUCACCAUAUGCUCAGAACUAUUCUUUUGAAAGUAACGAAUAUGUAUAUGAAGAAGAAGAAGAGAUACAGGAAAAUUUCAGUUGGAGAUGUGGCUGGAGGUAGGUGAGGAGAGGAAACGUGUGCGUGUAGAGCAGAAAGAUUUGCUAAAAGGGUCAACCUCUGUCUUGUCUGCUACGCUGCUUGAUUCCUUGUUCUGUUUCUGUAUCAGUGCAGUGAGUGCUUCCACUAUUUCUGAAACCGCUGGUCUAAACUCCUUCUCUGCCUGCUUAUGAAAACGAAUGAUUUACUUCUUGUAUUUGUAAAUGAAGAAGCAAAUUGACAAUUAUACCUGAGUGCAUAGGGAGAUAAUGUCUGCGUAGUGUGAGGCGACUCUUGAGGAGAAUGUGCCGACUAUGCCUUGAUCAAUCAUCUGUUCUAAGCUUCGCCUGUCAUGAAGUCUGGUUGAUGCCCAUUUCACCAGCAGCUGUUCUCCUUGGGGUCGUGAGCUGCAAGAAAAACAGGUUCAAAUGCCUUGGGGCUUAUCUAUUGCACCCAGCAAGUAAUUGAAAUUGCUUUGUGUUUACCUGUCAAAUGCUUUCCUUCCUGUUAACAGUUCCAAGAGUAGCACACCCAGCGCAAAAGUGUCGCUCUUUGUGCCGCUGCUUCCUGGUUGUCCAUGUUCUGGAGCUAUGUAGCCAGUGUUUUGAAUCGCUAUCUCUGAAGCCUGCUCCAAAUCUCACAGCUCAUCAGGUAUCAGUCAAAGAACUAAACGAGACACAGAAUAAUAUACCGUUCUUUACUUACCCGAAGCUUGACACUGUUGCUUGUAAGUGGCCUCAAACUAGCAAGCCCACAGUCAGCGAUACGAGGUGUAAGUUCUUCGUCAAGCAAAAUGUUUGUUGCUUUCAGAUCGCUAUGGGCAAUAGGAAGGCUAAAUGACGAGUGCAAAUAGCUGAAAAUUAAGAUUCACCAUACAGUGUAACGUGUCAAAACAAAUCCAUGCAAGGACUGGGAAUAAGCUACUACUAUUUAUGUUUGAGAAGAUAAAGGAUACUUACUCCAGAGCUCGGGCAACUCCAAUGGGAAACGUGUGCGUGUAGAGCAGAAAGAUUUGCUAAAAGGGUCAACCUCUGUCUUGUCUGCUACGCUGCUUGAUUCCUUGUUCUGUUUCUGUAUCAGUGCAGUGAGUGCUUCCACUAUUUCUGAAACCGGUGGUCUAAACUCCUUCUCUGCCUGCUUAUGGAAACGAAUGAUUUACUUCUUGUAUUUGUAAAUGAAGAAGCUAUUGACAAUUAUACCUGAGUGCAUAGGGAGAUAAUGUCUGCGUAGUGUGAGGCGACUCUUGAGGAGAAUGUGCCGACUAUGCCUUGAUCAAUCAUCUGUUCUAAGCUUCGCCUGUCAUGAAGUCUGGUUGAUGCCCAUUUCACCAGUAGCUGUUCUCCUUCUGGUCGCGAGCUGCAAAUAGUUCAACCAAAAGGCUUAUCUAUUGCACCCAGCAAGUAUUUGAAAUGCUUUGUGUUACCUGUCGAAUGCUUUCCUUCCUGUUAACAGUUCCAAGAGUAGCACACCCAGUGCAAAAGUGUCGCUCUUUGUGCCACUGCUUCCUGGUUGUCCAUGUUCUGGUGCAAUGUAGCCAGUGUUUUGUAUCGCUAUCUCUGAAGCCUGCGCCAAAUAUUACAAAACUCAUUAGGUAUCAGUCAUUAGAAGUAAUCGAGACACAGACUAAUAUAACCGUUCUUUACUUACCCGAAGCUUGACACUGUUGCUUGUAAGUGGCCUCAAACUAGCAAGCCCACAGUCAGCAAUGCGAGGUGUAAGUUCUUCGUCUAGCAAAAUGUUUGUUGCUUUCAGAUCGCUAUGGGCAAUAGGAAGGCUAAACGACGAGUGCAAAUAGCUGAAAAUUAAGAUUCAAAGUCAAUCCAUGCAAGGAUUGGGAAUAAGCUACUAUUUAUGUUUGAGAAGAUAAGGAUACUUACUCCAGAGCUCGGGCAACUCCAAUAGCAAUGCGAAGACGCAAACCCCAUGAAAGUGGCUUGUAUACUUUGUCAUGCAUCCAUGAAGUCUGGUUGAUGCCCAUUUCACCAGUAGCUGUUCUCCUUCUGGUCGCGAGCUGCAAAUAGUUCAACCAAAAGGCUUAUCUAUUGCACCCAGCAAGUAUUUGAAAUGCUUUGUGUUACCUGUCGAAUGCUUUCCUUCCUGUUAACAGUUCCAAGAGUAGCACACCCAGUGCAAAAGUGUCGCUCUUUGUGCCACUGCUUCCUGGUUGUCCAUGUUCUGGUGCAAUGUAGCCAGUGUUUUGUAUCGCUAUCUCUGAAGCCUGCGCCAAAUAUUACAAAACUCAUUAGGUAUCAGUCAUUAGAAGUAAUCGAGACACAGACUAAUAUAACCGUUCUUUACUUACCCGAAGCUUGACACUGUUGCUUGUAAGUGGCCUUAAACUAGCAAGCCCACAGUCAGCAAUGCGAGGUGUAAGUUCUUCGUCUAGCAAAAUGUUUGUUGCUUUCAGAUCGCUAUGUGCAAUAGGAAGGCUAAACGACGAGUGCAAAUAGCUGAAAAUUUAGAUUCACCAUGUCAAAAAAAUCCAUGCACGGAUUGGGAAUAAGCUACUACUAUUAAUCUUUGAGAAGAUAAAGAUACUUACUCGGUGGCCGGAUCCUUUUCAUCUGUGGGUUAUCUUCAGGUGCAGCAGAAAAUUCUGUUACAUGCAAAGGUAAAAAAAAUCAGUAAGGAAUCAGAAUUGCAACAAUGAGGGGCAAAGAAAGGCUUAUCUUCAGGUGCAGCAGAAAAUUCUGUUACAUGCAAAGGUAAAUAAAAUCAGUCAGGAAUCAGAAUUGCAACAAUGAGGGGCAAAGAAAGGCAUAAUAGUUUCACCUCGGCCUGUACUGACUGGAAGAGUGUACGUUGUGCUAUUGUUGCUUCUGUGACUAGCGGCAAGGUUUUGUGCUCGUCGAUGAUUCAUUCCAACUGCGAAAAGUGCAAAGAAAGUUCCAAGCAAAGCCACUCCACCAACCAGUAAAACCAUACUCCCUGCUCCUAUGCCCUUCUUCUUCUUCUUUAUAACCUUCUGAGGUCUAGGAAAGUUCAUAAUGGCACUUGACUCAGUAGUUGGAUAGCCAGUAGCAUUUUGAAUCAUUGGUAUGACAUCCAAAGGGAAUUUCCACGGUUUAUAGUUGGGCUCUACAUGGAACUUGUUUCCCCAAAUCCUGCUCGGCAUAACACCAUUAAUAAUCAUGAGUCUCGGGUGUCUGAGCCAACUUUUUGAAACGAAGGGAGUAGUAAACUCACCACAGAUGAGGAAUGGACUGAAAAUGACUUGGGAUAAUACCACUGAACUGGUUAUCUUCAAUAUUCCUGAGGACAUGUGUGAGAAGAAGCGGUUUGAGCUAGAUGAAAUAAAGGAAGCUCAAUGAAAUGCAAAAUCAAAGCACAAAGAGAGAGUUAACUACAGGUCAGUUAAAGGUAGAUCCGAGAGAUAGAUGAUUGAUCCGGUAAACCUGUUGUUCUGGAGGUACCUGCAGUUUUGUUAUCACAGAAGCAAAAAACCAUUAUUAGACCUACACCUACUGCAGAAAGCAGUUUACAAAUCAAAUUCUGAGAUGCUUACAGUGAAGUCAGAUUCAACAGAGAUCCAAAAGAGCUCGGUAGAUCUCCCGUCAGGUUAUUGAAUGACAGAUCCCUGGCAAAUUCAACAUUAUAUGAAUAUGCGUGACAUUUGGUUAUCUGCAUAUCGUGAUGAAAGGCUAACAUAACUGAACCUAAGACUCACAUUUCUUUAAUUUGAAGCCCAGAAAACACAUUUCCAAGAGGUCCAGUUAAAGAAUUAUGGCUCAAAUUCCUAGAGGACAGACAGAGGAAGCCAUUACUUAGACAAAAUCAAUGAAAAAGGAAGGGCAAUGGCAGAUUUGGAAUAAGGCACUUACAGGUACACAAGAGAUGUCAAAAGAGGUAAGGAAAAAGGGAGACCCUGGGUCAGAUUGUUAUAAGCCAAGUUUCUGUAAUCGACAAACAAACAAGACAUUAGUGCAUUCCACUGCGGUGUAAGCUUAAAUGAAUGAUGAACGAACUUGGAUGAAACGCUUACAUGUGGGUAGUAUUUGGAGGCAAGCCAAACGGAAUUUCACCUUGGAGGUUAUUGAAGCUUACAUCCCUUAACACAGAGGAAAAAAAUAGUAUUCAAUGAUUCAAAGCCUCUAACAAUCAAGAAGAGGAAAGUUUGCUUACAAGUUCUUCAAAUUGUGGAGAUGUUGAAGCUGGUUUCCAAGACUCCCCAAAAGCUUUAACCCUCGUAGUUGUCUGCGGUAGCAAGCAUGAAUCAGAUUAUCUUCUUCGAACUAUGAUGAAGCUGAGGAAAAAGAGGGAAAAACUUACAGUUCUACUAUAGACGAUCCAGAACAAAAAACUCCCAUCCAGACUUCACCGCAUGGAUCUCCUCCCUCCAGUUUCCAUCCUCUCAGCUGCGGUGGAGCGUUCAGGGACUUGUAGACAUCUUGAAGAGCCGAAACUAACGAAGAAGAUACACCAAUAUAGAACGAUUACAUGAUCAAGCACCAGCCAAGAAAGCGUUUCUAUCAAUUCACUGAUCCUAGAUAACAAUCAUGAUUCCGUUCCAAUGUAAGUGAAAGUAUCAAGUCACGCUCAUUCGAAGGAACGACGGAGAACGAUCCUCAUUCGAAGAUUGAGAGGAUCUGAAAAUUACCUUCGAGCGGAUCAGUAUCGGUCUCAGCCAGCGCAAACAGCAUCGCCGUGAGCAUAACUGCAGCGAGGCGUCGCCAUUGCCGUUUGAUCGUCAUCUCCACGAAGGAGAAAGAAGAGAGAUAAUGCUUAGAUGCAGAGAACUGAUACUUUCAAGCUCCGUCGAACGAAGAAGAAAAGGAGAAAGAGAGAGAGAGAAGAGAUUCUCGGAUUUUCUCGCACUUUCUCUCUCGCCUUUUCACGGAAACCAAACAGAAAGAAAAUCCGAAGGAGAGAAGAUGCCGCCUAUAGAGUGAAGGGAGAGAUGGCGCGAAUGUUCCACGUCAGCGAAAGCAGUUACGGACGUUAGAGUCAACAAGUCAAACCAUCUUCUACCAGCGCCAAGCUUUGCCACGUGGCCGCGCAAUUCAACUUACACGUCAGCCAAUUUUCAAAAGUAAAAAAUUUUUCCAAUAAAUAAAGAGUGACCACCAAAGACUAAUACAAUCUUUUGUUAAAGACUUAAUAAUCAAAGAAGCUGUUGCUUCUUCUUCAAAUCCUCCAAAUGCUUAGGCCCAUCAGGAUGACGGCUCACAAAAUACCUCGCAAAGUCUUUAUCCGAACACGCGAGCAGAGUACUAACCGCAAGCUUAGGAUCCGCCUUGCCUCUAGCCUUAAGCCACGCAAACAUCGCGAACCUAACCUUCAUCCUCUCGAGAGUGAACUUCAAACACGAAGGGAACGCCACCAACGUCGAAAGCGGGUAGCCUAACUCCGUUACAAGGAACCUAACCUUAGUUUCCAGCACGUCGCUUGCUUGCGUGAGGAUAUUAGGAGACGCUUUCACCAUCUCUUUGACAUCUUCCUCGUCCAAACCAAACCUCACAAGAACUUCGAAUCUCUCUUUGAGCUCGGAUCCUCUCCCGCGGAAACUCUUCCCUGCUCUCUCCAUCUCCUCUGAGCCUUCCACGUACCCGAGGUCUAGCAAAAACUGAGUCUUCAUCGCUUUGGAGUCUAGGUACACUUCUGUGGCUGGUAAGGGAUGGACUUUUGAACCCAUCGUCCAUUUCUUCAUCUCCUCUGGAUUCUCUUUAACGACCUUACAAACUCUUGUUUUGUAAGCCUUUAAGUUAACGAGCAAGCUGCUUGUUUUCUUCAACGUACACGAACUAAUCCACCACGAGUGAGACCGAAACACCUUUUGGAUCUCGUCGUCCUCCAUGUCGAUCUCUUUCAGGAACAAGAAGCAUCUUCUUAGAUUCGAAACGCAUUUCUCCACUUGCAUCUGAGGGAGUUUCUGAAACAAAGAGUAGAGUUCUCUUGCGGAUAAGCCGAGUUUCGUCUCGAAUCCAGAGAGAAUCAGUGUCCAUCUCCCUGAGCUCUCAAAGAUGAGUCUCGGAUGGUUCUUGAUUAACGCAUAAAGCUCAUCCUCAUCGUUGCAUAUUACUCUAAGCAACGUUAGAGCACAAUGCACUGAGCUCCAAUCAUAAGAAACCUCCUCUGACAAGUUCUUCAUCACCCAAUCAGAAUCAAUCCCUAUAGCUCUCAGCUUCUCCACGACCCUAACAAGCUCCAUAUCCGUAUCCCCAACCAACAUUCUCGGACAACAAGCGAUAAGCUUCGACAGAAACAACCUGCUAAACCCAAAAUCCUCAUAAACCUUAAUCUUCGACGCCAAAACACCAGUCUCGUACCCGAACACAUCCCUAGCCUCCUCGAAGAUCUUCCCAAUCUUCUUGGGGUCAACUCCACAGUAACACAAAACAUGAUGAUUCUCAAGCAACAGCUCGUUCAAGAAAAUCUCACCAGAGGGGAUGAGAUGAGUGUACUCAUUAGGCUUGAGACCCGAGCUCUCGAGGAAAGGCUCGAACUCGUUGACGGGGUGAAACCUCAGAUGUUUGGUGAUGGAUUGGUUGAUGUCAGAAGCAGAGACGCAGCUCACCUUCUUGAGUAGAUUCUCGAUGAAGAUGGGACUGUUCUUGCUCAUGCUCUCGGCUACCAUGUACUGCAAGCGUAGAUGAGAUUAGGAUAGAGUUAGCUGAUGUAAAGUCAGCUAUAGUUUUUUUUAGUUGGGAUUGUGAAUGGCUAGAAAACUUAGUUUCAGAUUUUUUCUUACUGCAGGGUGUUGUCUUGUUCAAACUAUUUUUUUAUUAUUUAUGCUAUACUAAGAAACUUCCUUUUUACAAUGACAAGUUUAUUAUUAUCAUCAUCACAUGCUCUGAACUAUUGUUUUGAAAGUAACGAAUAUUUGUAUGAAGAAGAAUGAGAUACAGGAAAAGUUUCAGUUGGAGAUGUGGCUGGAGGUAGGUGAGGAGAGGAAACGUGUGCGUGUAGAGCAGAAAGAUUUGCUAAAAGGGUCAAUCUCUGUCUUGUCUGCUACGCUGCUUGAUUCCUUGUUCUGUUUCUGUAUCAGUGAAGUGAGUGCUUCCAC
This 7097-nucleotide long non-coding RNA is filed under the name Brassica napus (rape). Its description in RNAcentral is "long non-coding RNA (BNAP_LNC023801)". Lineage: Eukaryota; Viridiplantae; Streptophyta; Magnoliopsida; Brassicales; Brassicaceae. The record is from RNAcentral.